AGGACGACGCUGGCGGCGUGCCUAACACAUGCAAGUCGAGCGGGGAUGAUGUGAGGAAGUUUUCGGAUGGAAUCACAUUAUUUUAGCGGCGGACGGGUGAGUAACGCGUGAGCGACCAACCUUGCACAGGGGGAUAACGGACCGAAAGGUUCACUAAUACCGCAUGAGACCACGGUGUUGCAUAACACAGAGGUCAAAGGAGAGAUCCGGUGCAAGACGGGCUCGCGUCCGAUUAGGUAGUUGGAGGGGUAACGGCCCACCAAGCCUAUGAUCGGUAGCCGACCUGAGAGGGUGAUCGGCCACAUUGGAACUGAGAUACGGUCCAAACUCCUACGGGAGGCAGCAGUGGGGAAUAUUGGGCAAUGGGGGGAACCCUGACCCAGCAACGCCGCGUGAAGGAAGAAGGUUUUCGGAUUGUAAACUUCUGUCCUUGGUGAAGAGAAGAAGACGGUAGCCAAGGAGGAAGCCCCGGCUAACUACGUGCCAGCCGCCGC
This 494-nucleotide ribosomal RNA is filed under the name uncultured bacterium. Its description in RNAcentral is "bacterial SSU rRNA". It matches the Rfam family "Bacterial small subunit ribosomal RNA", at positions 33 to 518 of the family's 1533-position model. The record is from RNAcentral.